RNAcentral lists this transfer RNA (69 nucleotides) under Pristimantis acerus (Papallacta robber frog). RNAcentral describes it as "tRNA-Val". It matches the Rfam family "tRNA". From Rfam's summary of the family: Transfer RNA (tRNA) molecules are approximately 80 nucleotides in length. Their secondary structure includes four short double-helical elements and three loops (D, anti-codon, and T loops). Lineage: Eukaryota; Metazoa; Chordata; Amphibia; Anura; Strabomantidae. The record is from RNAcentral.
CAGAACAUAACUUAAAGAAAGUACUUCGCUUACACCGAACAAAUGUCUGUUAACCCAGACUGUUCUGAA